RNAcentral lists this ribosomal RNA (253 nucleotides) under uncultured bacterium. RNAcentral describes it as "partial 16S ribosomal RNA". It matches the Rfam family "Bacterial small subunit ribosomal RNA", at positions 524 to 776 of the family's 1533-position model. The record is from RNAcentral.
UACGGAGGGGGCAAGCGUUGUUCGGAAGUACUGGGCGUAAAGCGCACGCAGGUGGAUUUUUAAGUCAGGGGUGAAAGCCCGGGGCUCAACCGCGGGAGUGCCUUUGAUACUGCCGAGCUUGAGUCCGGCAGAGGUUGGUGGAAUUCCUAGUGUAGCGGUGAAAUUCGUAGAUAUUAGGAAGAACACCAGUGGCGGAGGCGGCGAACUGGGCCGGAACUGACGCUGAUGUGCGAAAGCGUGGGGAGCAAACAGG